UAGUCGAGGUGACAACACAGAAAUUUUUGGAAUGGGUCCUUCCGUGGCAGCAGAGGAGGGCAUCAACGGGGACACCUCAGGAUCCGAUUUGGAGGGCAUUGAUUUUGAAGGAGACUCGAGUUUGGUGAGUGAAGAUAACUCAAGUGAUGAGGCAGAUGAGGAGCAGUACAAGGAGCUAGAGGAGUUUAUGGCAAAGAAAAUCCGGUUUUCCAGGGCAUUAAGAUUGCCUUGGACAGUGCAAGGAGGAGGCGGAAACUGAUGAAGAAGGCCAUACUUGUAGGGAUUCCUGGAUCAACACAUGAUUGGACAGUGCUGCAAGAAGCCAUUCACAAAUAUGGCACAAAUUUUCCCCAUCCACCCGCAGGAAAGUUUUAUCUGGUUGAUGCGGGGUACCCCAACAGGCCGGGAUAUCUAGCACCUUACAGGGGGUGAAGUACCAUCAGCGGGCAUGGAGAAAGGGACCAGGACCUUCGGGUACACAAGAGGUAUAUAACAAAGCGCAUUCUUCACUUAGGUCGGUCAUAGAGCAGUAAUUCGGGAUCUUGAAGAUGAAGUGGAGAAUUCUGUAUUACGGCAUCCCUAAAUAUUCUGAGCGUACACAAGCAAAAAUCAUUGUAGCAUGUUGUAGCCUACAUAAUUUCAUUUUGGAAAAUGAUGAUGACGAUGUGGACUUUAAUAUGGCUACGGCAUUAGGCGGGUUGAGAAUGCUCGAAGAAGAUAAGGAUGAGGCGGACACGCAUGAGGCCGAUAAAGUUGAAGACGUUGUGAACAUGAAUACGGUCCGUGAUGAAAUUGCAUAUGCAUAUUUUAUGGCACAAAGGCGCCGGUGAGAAUCAUGUAAAUUAUGCCAUAUGUAACAUAUGUUGGGGGCCAAAAUAUGUUUGUAUCGUCGUUAGUAUUUGUUUGUGGGACUUUGUUUUGCUAUGUAAACUUUGAGAUAGUGUGUGAAUUGUGCUGGCAUAGUUGGUUGCCCAAUAUUUGUAUUUAUGGACCAUAUUUGUGUUGCAAAGGAAAUGAAUUCUAUAUAUUAUGUUGGGCUGUUUAUGUA
This is a long non-coding RNA of Panicum virgatum (switchgrass), 1048 nucleotides long. RefSeq lists it as uncharacterized. Lineage: Eukaryota; Viridiplantae; Streptophyta; Magnoliopsida; Poales; Poaceae. The record is from RefSeq and is a predicted model, not a curated record. The transcript is spliced from 3 exons.